Molecule: long non-coding RNA, 195 nt
Filed under: Cercocebus atys (sooty mangabey)
Lineage: Eukaryota; Metazoa; Chordata; Mammalia; Primates; Cercopithecidae
Description: lncRNA (ENSCATG00000045840.1)
Source: RNAcentral
GAAGGUCCUGUGCAUGUUAGCAAGCAAAGAGAGAGUCAAAACAUCCAGCAGAAGCAGGAAGAGAAGAGUUACCCAGCAUUGCACAGCUAUCUUGAGAAGUAGAGGACAAGGCCCCUCUCUUCAGUUUUCCACUUGAAAUCAGCUCACCUUGGGAUGUAUAGAAUGGUAUACAGGCCUUUUAUAUGACGGCACACA